UUUCUYCAUUUAAUUUUUAYUUUAAUUCAACAUCGAGGUCACAAACACUUUUAUUAAUAAGAUCUUACUAAAAAUAUUAUGCUGUUAUCCCUAAGGUAAUUAAUUCUUAUAAUAAUUAAAUAUUUAUUCAAACCAAUCC
Molecule: ribosomal RNA, 139 nt
Filed under: Cladomyrma cryptata
Lineage: Eukaryota; Metazoa; Arthropoda; Insecta; Hymenoptera; Formicidae
Description: partial 16S rRNA
Source: RNAcentral